This 505-nucleotide ribosomal RNA is filed under the name uncultured bacterium. RNAcentral's name for it is "partial 16S ribosomal RNA". It matches the Rfam family "Bacterial small subunit ribosomal RNA", at positions 28 to 507 of the family's 1533-position model. The record is from RNAcentral.
GACGAACGCUGGCGGCGUGCCUAAUACAUGCAAGUAGAACGCACAGUUUAUACCGUAGCUUGCUCCACCAUAGACUGUGAGUUGCGAACGGGUGAGUAACGCGUAGGUAACCUGCCUGGUAGCGGGGGAUAACUAUUGGAAACGAUAGCUAAUACCGCAUAAUAUUAAUUAUUGCAUGAUAAUUAAUUGAAAGGUGCAAUUGCACCACUACCAGAUGGACCUGCGUUGUAUUAGCUAGUAGGUGAGGUAACGGCUCACCUAGGCGACGAUACAUAGCCGACCUGAGAGGGUGAUCGGCCACACUGGGACUGAGACACGGCCCAGACUCCUACGGGAGGCAGCAGUAGGGAAUCUUCGGCAAUGGACGAAAGUCUGACCGAGCAACGCCGCGUGAGUGAAGAAGGGUUUCGGAUCGUAAAGCUCUGUUGUAAGAGAAGAACGGGUGUGAGAGUGGAAAGUUCACACUGUGACGGUAGCUUACCAGAAAGGGACGGCUAACUACGUG